This is a non-coding RNA of Photobacterium profundum, 106 nucleotides long. NCBI's taxonomy places the organism in Bacteria, Pseudomonadati, Pseudomonadota, Gammaproteobacteria, Vibrionales, Vibrionaceae. The record is from Rfam.
AGAAUUGUACCACCACUGCGUAUCCUAAACGGGCUCUGCAGUGGUUAUUCUUGUAAAGUACUAGGAGUGAAUAGUGGCCCGUAUUGCAGGCAUUAACAUUCCUGAU